RNAcentral lists this ribosomal RNA (446 nucleotides) under uncultured bacterium. RNAcentral describes it as "partial 16S ribosomal RNA". It matches the Rfam family "Bacterial small subunit ribosomal RNA", at positions 330 to 792 of the family's 1533-position model. The record is from RNAcentral.
GCCAGACUCCUACGGGAGGCAGCAGUGGGGGAUAUUGCACAAUGGGGGGAACCCUGAUGCAGCGACGCCGCGUGGGUGAAGGAGCGUUUCGGCGCGUAAAGCCCUAUCGGCAGGGAAGAAGGAGGACGGUACCUGACUAAGAAGCCCCGGCUAACUACGUGCCAGCAGCCUCGGUAAUACGUAGGGGGCAAGCGUUAUCCGGAUUUACUGGGUGUAAAGGGGGCGCAGACGGCAGCGCAAGCCAGGAGCGAAAGCCCGGGGCCCAACCCCGGGACUGCUCUUGGAACUGCGCGGCUGGAGUGCAGGAGGGGCAGGCGGAAUUCCUGGUGUAGCGGUGAAAUGCGUAGAUAUCAGGAGGAACACCGGUGGCGAAGGCGGCCUGCUGGACUGCGACUGACGUUGAGGCCCGAAAGCGUGGGGAGCAAACAGGAUUAGAUACCCCGGUA